ACUGUGUCAGUCCUCUUCCUCUGUAAUUUAUAUCCACAGUGCUAAAGUGUCAGUAAUGCAGUACAGUUGAAGCUUCUGCAGAAUUCAUGCUAUAAAGAUGAUAAGAGCCCCCAAAGGCUAUUGAUAGAAAAAAAUCACUGAAUAAUGGAAUACUGAGAUACUGCAUUUAACUACUCAGAAGAUGUCUUCAGAAGACAUUUUGCCAGUGCCAAUGUUGGUCGUGCCUUUGUAAAAGCAUAAGGAGAAGAGAGGAGUGGGGAAAACGUAGAGAGAACCAUCCCUGCAGACCCCAAGAUCUCCUGAGAACAAGCUUAAGAAUAUAAUGCCUGGGAACACUCUGAGAAACCUGCUUCUUCCAGAAAUGGCACAAACUUAUCUAACAUUCUCCAGGCCUCCUAAGUUCCAACUGAUUGCUUUUAAUAAUAUUUAUUCAUCCAAAAAUAUGCCUAUAUGCUGUUUUACUACAACAGACUCCUGUUGUCAGCCUUCAGAGAAUUAUUUUUUUAAGAAGGUUCAUGCAUAAGACAUAAUUUUACUUCUAUAUAAAUGUUUGUACUUACAUGUACGCAUUUCCAUAAAUACAAAUAUAAUUUAAAAUAUUGGGUUUUGAUUAGCCUAAUGGCUGCCGAAAUAAUAAUCAUGUAAUAAAAUUUUUACCUUGGUAUUUGACUUUUCA
RNAcentral lists this long non-coding RNA (676 nucleotides) under Anas platyrhynchos platyrhynchos (common mallard). Its description in RNAcentral is "lncRNA (ENSAPLG00000024939.1)". The record is from RNAcentral. Lineage: Eukaryota; Metazoa; Chordata; Aves; Anseriformes; Anatidae.